UACGGAGGGGGCUAGCGUUGUUCGGAAUUACUGGGCGUAAAGCGCGCGUAGGCGGACCUGCAAGUCGGGGGUGAAAGCCCGAGGCUCAACCUCGGAACUGCCUUCGAUACUGCGGGUCUCGAGUCCGGGAGAGGUGAGUGGAAUUCCUGGUGUAGAGGUGAAAUUCGUAGAUAUUAGGAAGAACACCAGUGGCGAAGGCGGCUCACUGGCCCGGUACUGACGCUAAGGCGCGAAAGCGUGGGGAGCAAACAGG
RNAcentral lists this ribosomal RNA (253 nucleotides) under uncultured bacterium. Its description in RNAcentral is "partial 16S ribosomal RNA". It matches the Rfam family "Bacterial small subunit ribosomal RNA", at positions 524 to 776 of the family's 1533-position model. The record is from RNAcentral.